This 66-nucleotide transfer RNA is filed under the name Gammaproteobacteria bacterium. RNAcentral describes it as "tRNA-Val". It matches the Rfam family "tRNA", at positions 6 to 65 of the family's 71-position model. Rfam says of the family: Transfer RNA (tRNA) molecules are approximately 80 nucleotides in length. Lineage: Bacteria; Pseudomonadati; Pseudomonadota; Gammaproteobacteria. The record is from RNAcentral.
UGUAGCUCAGCGGAUAGAGCAUCCCUUUGACUAAGGGGAAGGUCGCGGGUUGAAUCCCGCCAGGAU